UCUCUGGGUGGCGAGUGGCGGACGGGUGAGGAAUAUAUCGGAAUCUACCCUUUCGUGGGGGAUAACGUAGGGAAACUUACGCUAAUACCGCAUACGAUCUAAGGAUGAAAGCGGGGGAUCGCAAGACCUCGCGCGAUUGGAGCGGCUGAUAUCAGAUUAGGUUGUUGGUGAGGUAAAAGCUCACCAAGCCGACGAUCUGUAGCUGGUUUGAGAGAACGACCAGCCACACUGGGACUGAGACACGGCCCAGACUCC
RNAcentral lists this ribosomal RNA (255 nucleotides) under uncultured bacterium. RNAcentral describes it as "partial 16S ribosomal RNA". It matches the Rfam family "Bacterial small subunit ribosomal RNA", at positions 81 to 339 of the family's 1533-position model. The record is from RNAcentral.